RNAcentral lists this ribosomal RNA (244 nucleotides) under Brevibacillus borstelensis. RNAcentral's name for it is "partial 16S ribosomal RNA". It matches the Rfam family "Bacterial small subunit ribosomal RNA", at positions 1 to 247 of the family's 1533-position model. The record is from RNAcentral. Lineage: Bacteria; Bacillati; Bacillota; Bacilli; Caryophanales; Paenibacillaceae.
UUAUUGGAGAGUUUGAUCCUGGCUCAGGACGAACGCUGGCGGCGUGCCUAAUACAUGCAAGUCGAGCGAGUCCCUUCGGGGGCUAGCGGCGGACGGGUGAGUAACACGUAGGCAACCUGCCCGUAAGCUCGGGAUAACAUGGGGAAACUCAUGCUAAUACCGGAUAGGGUCUUCUCUCGCAUGAGAGGAGACGGAAAGGUGGCGCAAGCUACCACUUACGGAUGGGCCUGCGGCGCAUUAGCUA